GGGCUCGUGGUGUAGUCUGGUUAACAUGUCAGAUUGUCGAUCUGAAGAUCGCCGGUUCAAAUCCGGUCGGGCCCGCCA
RNAcentral lists this transfer RNA (78 nucleotides) under Candidatus Omnitrophota bacterium. RNAcentral describes it as "tRNA-Asp". It matches the Rfam family "tRNA". From Rfam's summary of the family: Transfer RNA (tRNA) molecules are approximately 80 nucleotides in length. Their secondary structure includes four short double-helical elements and three loops (D, anti-codon, and T loops). The record is from RNAcentral. Lineage: Bacteria; Pseudomonadati; Candidatus Omnitrophota.